This 3049-nucleotide ribosomal RNA is filed under the name Candidatus Spechtbacteria bacterium SB0662_bin_43. RNAcentral's name for it is "23S ribosomal RNA". It matches the Rfam family "Bacterial large subunit ribosomal RNA". Lineage: Bacteria; Candidatus Spechtiibacteriota. The record is from RNAcentral.
UCAAGGGUGUAUGGGGGAUGCCUAAACAUCAAAAGGGGACGAAGGACGUGGCGUAACUGCGAAAUGCCUCGGGUAGGUGUGUAGCAACCUGUGAUCCGGGGAUGUCCGAAUGGGGAAACCCCUCCAAAUGGAGAUUCGCGCUUUGCGCGAAGCCGUACCCGCUGAAGUAAAACAUUUCAGUAAGCGGAGGAAAAGAUACCGUAGUAUCUUCUUUGAUGUUUACAGCAUAGUAUUGUGUUGUAAGCAUUGAAGAAGAUUUCGUAUUCCCUUAGUAGCGGCGAGCGAACAGGGAGGAGCCUAAACCUGCGUAUGCAGGGGUUGUAGGGCAACGACACAAAGGUUGGAUAUAUUUAAACGAAUAACUCUGGAAAGAGUGACCAUAGAAGGUAAUAGUCCUGUAGUUGAAAAGUAUUGAAAACCCGUUGUUGUUCCUGAGUAGCUCGAGGCACGACUACCUCGAGCGAAUCAUCCCGACCUAUCGGGAAAGGCUAAAUACUUUUGAUGAUUGAUAGUGAACAAGUACCGUGAGGGAAAGGUGAAAAGCAGUCCGGUGAGGACGAUGAAAUAGAACCUGAAACCAUAUACCUACAAGGAUGUGGAGCUCUUUUACAGAGUGACACAGUGCCUUUUGCAUAAUGAUCCAACGAGUUUAUGUGUACUGCUUGUUUAACUCCUUUUUGUGGAGGAAUGCAUAGGGAAACCAAGUCUUAACAGGGCACUCUCAAUCUAUUUAUUUUGAGUAUUUUGUACUCAAAAUAAAUAGAUUGAAGGCAGUAUAUAUAAGACCCGAAGCCAGGCGAUCUACCCAUGGCCAGGGUGAACCUUGAGUAAAAUCAAGGGGAGGCCCGCACCCACUCGCCGUGCAAUACGAGGGGAUGAGCUGUGGGUCGCAGUGAAAAGCUAAUCGAGCCUGGUAAUAGCUGGUUCUCUCCGAAAUAGCUUUAGGGCUAGCCUUUAGUGAAGGCGCGCGGAGGUAGAGCACUGGUUGGUUUGGCGAGGUUUUUCUGAGUCAAGCCAGUCAAACUCCGAAUGCCGUGCGUUGUUUCUGAAGAGUUAGAAUGUGGGGGCUAAGCUCCAUAUUCGAGAGGGAAAGAGCCCAGACCACCGUCUAAGGUCCCCAAGUGUAUGUUAAGUGGGAAAGGAGGUGAUGAUUCCCAAACAGCUAGGAGGUUGGCUUAGAAGCAGCCAUCCUUUAAAAAGUGCGUAACAGCUUACUAGUCGAGAGUCAUUGCGCCGAAAAUGUAACGGGGCUCAAACAUACCACCGAAGACGUGGACUCAUACCGUUUGCGCGGUAUGAGUGGUAGGAGAGCAUUUCCAUCUGCGUUGAAGUCGUGCCGUGAGGCGCGGUGGAGCGUUGGGAAGAGAGAAUGUUGGAAUGAGUAACCGCAAGAAGGGUGAGAGACCCUUCCGCCGAAAGCCUAAGGUUUCCUUGGCAAUGUCAAUCAGCCAAGGGUUAGGCAGCCCUAACCGCAGGUCCGAAAGGAUCGGCGGGAUGGACAACAGGUUAAUAUUCCUGUCCUUUUUGCUUGUGCGAUGGAGGGACGGAGAUUAGUACACAGUGCGCAUUAUUGGAUUUGCGUUUAUGCUUUAGGGGAAGAAGGGGAGAAAUGCCCCUUUGGUCGCAAGACAUUCCCGAGAAGUGUAACGAAGCGCGUUUUUGCGCGUGAAGUCUGUGGAGCAAUCUUCCAAGAAAAGCUUCUAAGGUUAACAAGUAAAAAUCUGUACCAAAACCAACACAGGUAGGCAGGGCGAGUAGCCCAAGGCGAACGUGUGAAUCCUCGUUAAGGAACUCGGCAAAUCAGCUAGGCGUAACUUCGGGAUAUGCCUUCCCCGUAGCAAUAUGGGGCGCAGCAAAUGUCUUCCUGGCGACUGUUUAUCAAAAACACAACUCUCUGCUAACUCGUAAGAGGAUGUAUAGGGGGUGACACCUGACCAAUGCCAGAACGUUAAGCGUUGGUGGUCAAACGAAGUUUACUUCGUUUGGCUGUUGAUGUAAGCGCUGGUGAAUGUCGGCCGUAACUAUAACGGUCCUAAGGUAGCGAAAUUCCUUGGCAGGUAAGUUCUGUCCCGCACGAAAGGUGUAACGACUGGGAAACUGUCUCAACGAGGAGCACGGUGAAAAUGCAGUACCGGUAAAGAUGCCGGUUACCUGCGGAAAGACGAAAAGACCCCGGGAGCUUUACUAUAGCUUUUUAUUGUUGUAGUGCAUUAUAUGCGUAGCGUAGUGGGGAGGCUUUGAAGCUUUAAUUUCGGUUAAGGUGGAGCCGCCAAUGAAACACCCAUCUUAUAGUGUAUUGCAACUAACCGGCUGCUAAACACAGUCGGAACAGUGAAAGGUGGGUAGUUUAAGUGGGGCGCUUGCCUCCUAAAAGGUAGCGGAGGCGUUUAUCAAGGUCAGCUAGCUCCGGAUGGAAAUCGGAGUGGUCGUGUAAAGGCAUAAGCUGGCUUAACUGCAAGACCUAUAAGUCACGCUCUUGUAAAACUUUCUAUUGCAAAAUAGUGGGGAGUAGCAAGACAUCAAUGAUAUUUAUAUUUUUGAUGAGGUGCGAAAGCAGAACUUAGUGAACCGACUCUUCUUUAUAGAAAGGGAGGAGAUCAUCAGAUAAAAGUUACCCCGGGGAUAACAGGCUAGUCGCAUCCAAGCGUCCACAGCGACGAUGCGGUUCGGCACCUCGAUGUCGGCUCGGCGUAUCCUGGGACUGAAGAAGGCCCCAAGGGUUUGGCUGUUCGCCAAUUAAAACGUCACGCGAGCUGGGUUCAGACCGUCGUAAGACAGGUUGGUCUCUAUCUUCCGUGGGCGUUGAGCUUUGAGGGGGGUCGCUCCUAGUACGAGAGGACCGGAGUGAACGAACCUCUGGUGUACCAAUUGUCACGCCAGUGGCACAGUUGGGUAGCUAUGUUCGGAAGGGAUAAGUGCUGAAAGCAUAUAAGCACGAAGCCCCACCCAAGAUGAGAGCUCAAGAUUCCUGCAAGACGAGCAGGUUGAUAGGCUGCAGGUGUACGCACUGUGAAGUGUUCAGCCAAGCAGUACUAAUAUAUCAGCACUU